This 504-nucleotide ribosomal RNA is filed under the name uncultured bacterium. RNAcentral's name for it is "partial 16S ribosomal RNA". It matches the Rfam family "Bacterial small subunit ribosomal RNA", at positions 28 to 523 of the family's 1533-position model. The record is from RNAcentral.
GAUAAACGCUAGCGGCAGGCUUAACACAUGCAAGUCGAGGGGCAGCAUAGAUUGUAGCAAUACGAUUGGUGGCGACCGGCGCACGGGUGCGUAACGCGUAUGCAACCUACCCGUCACAGGGGGAUAAUCCGGAGAAAUCUGGUCUAAUACCCCAUAACAUAUGGAUCGGCAUCGGUUCAUGUUGAAAUUUUCGGAGGUGACGGAUGGGCAUGCGUAGCAUUAGCUUGUUGGUGAGGUAACGGCUCGCCAAGGCGACGAUGCUUAGGGGGACUGAGAGGUUUUCCCCCCACACUGGUACUGAGACACGGACCAGACUCCUACGGGAGGCAGCAGUGAGGAAUAUUGGUCAAUGGGCGCAAGCCUGAACCAGCCAUGCCGCGUGCAGGAUGACGGCUCUAUGAGUUGUAAACUGCUUUUGUACGAGGGUAAAGUGGGUUACGUGUAACCUUUUGAAAGUAUCGUACGAAUGAGGAUCGGCUAACUCCGUGCCAGCCGCCGCAGUAA